Molecule: ribosomal RNA, 376 nt
Filed under: uncultured bacterium
Lineage: Bacteria
Description: bacterial SSU rRNA
Rfam family: Bacterial small subunit ribosomal RNA
Source: RNAcentral
AAUCAACGCUGGCGGCGUGCCUAACACAUGCAAGUCGAACGCGAAAGCCCCGCAAGGGUAAGUAGAGUGGCAAACGGGUGAGUAACACGUGGGUGACCUACCUUCGAGUGGGGAGUAACGUACCCGAACGGGACGCUAAUACCGCAUGACAUCCUGCGUUUGGAAACGCGGAGAUCAAAGCCGGGGAGUCGCAAGACCUGGCGCUUGGAGAGGGCCCGCGCCUGAUUAGCUAGUUGGUGGGGAACGGCUCACCAAGGCAACGAUCAGUAUCCGGCCUGAGAGGGCGGACGGACACACUGGGACUGAGACACGGCCCAGACUCCUACGGGAGGCAGCAGCGGGGAAUUGUUCGCAAUGGGCGCAAGCCUGACGACGC